UGGGGAAUAUUGGACAAUGGGCGCAAGCCUGAUCCAGCCAUGCCGCGUGUGUGAAGAAGGCCUUUUGGUUGUAAAGCACUUUAAGCGAGGAGGAGGCUACUUGGAUUAAUACUCUAGGAUAGUGGACGUUACUCGCAGAAUAAGCACCGGCUAACUCUGUGCCAGCAACCGCGGUAAUACAGAGGGUGCGAGCGUUAAUCGGAUUUACUGGGCGUAAAGCGUGCGUAGGCGGCUUCUUAAGUCGGAUGUGAAAUCCCUGAGCUUAACUUAGGAAUUGCAUUCGAUACUGGGAAGCUAGAGUAUGGGAGAGGAUGGUAGAAUUCCAGGUGUAGCGGUGAAAUGCGUAGAGAUCUGGAGGAAUACCGAUGGCGAAGGCAGCCAUCUGGCCUAAUACUGACGCUGAGGUACGAAAGCAUGGGGAGCAAACAGG
This 430-nucleotide ribosomal RNA is filed under the name bacterium. Its description in RNAcentral is "partial 16S ribosomal RNA". It matches the Rfam family "Bacterial small subunit ribosomal RNA", at positions 355 to 776 of the family's 1533-position model. The record is from RNAcentral.